This is a long non-coding RNA of Astatotilapia calliptera (eastern happy), 3223 nucleotides long. Lineage: Eukaryota; Metazoa; Chordata; Actinopteri; Cichliformes; Cichlidae. The record is from Ensembl.
AAGAAGAAGAAGAAUAGCUCUUUGUUACAAGAACAGUGAAAGGCAGUUUGGCAUCUCCCCAUGUGUGUGAAAUAUUAUCUACUCAAUGACACAGAGAAAGUUACAUUUACACAAGAAAGAUAUGUACAAGUUACACACACGCAUACAUGCCAUCUGAGGAGCAGGUGCAGGGGGGUCAGUGAUAGUGCACAUGGAGUGGUUGCUGUUGCUACUAUAAUACAUGCAGUUUAAAGAGGAAUGUUGGUUGCAUCAUAGUAUAACUAAAAAUACGGUUUAUAAAUCAAGUGUAAAACAUGAACUCAGUGUUUUUAACGAUCAACUGCACACGAGGUGGUCGGCGCCGACCUUUAACGAACAAAAAGAACAUCAAGCUAAGAGUUCACGAGACAAAACGGCUGAAACAACAAAGCGGCUCUUUUGUGUGUGUAACAUAUAAAAAUAGUCAAACUGACUGACGGUCGUACGUCAGACAAGUAAAGUACCCAGGAUACUUUUGUUGCCGUAGUGACACUGAGUCACUGUUGACGUCACAGGCAGAUCCACUUCCUGUGCUCCGCUGUGGUCAUGUGACUGACUCAUUCUGUUUGCGAUGUGAUGGUCAGGUGACCUCGGCCGACUCACUGUGUGUGUUUGUGUUCAGUGCGCAGGGUUUCAAGUGUGGCGCUGAUUGGACCAGAGUGACAUUCAGGUGGGUUCCUCUCAUUACUUGUGUGUGUGUGUGGUGAGUGAGAGAGAGAUCUGAGCACGCUCAGUGUGUCUCGUUCUUUCAGUCCUGACGGGAGCUACGUGGCCGGCGGAUCAGCUGACGGCGCUCUGUACAUCUGGAAUGUGCUGACGGGGAAAGUGGACCGAACUCUAGACCGGAACCACAGCUCAGCCAUCAACUCGGUGUCCUGGUCGCCUUCAGGAGCAUACGUGGCAAGCGUGGAGAAAGGCAGUCGCGCCAUCUUGUGGUCAGACAUGUGACCGGGCCCGAGGAGGCGGAGUCAGGCUGUAGGCAGCCAGUGGCGGCCCCUCUGCCAUCUUCAUCGUGGUGAAGAUGAAGAGGAUUCACUGAGACUGUGGAGACGAGCUGCCGUGUUCUGUUUCUGCAGCUUUUAAUGUUCAGCAUCAUUUUAAUGACCGGGAGGAGGCGGAGCCACAUGCGGCGCCGCAGCUGCUGAUGCGAGGACAGCCGUCGGAUGUCAGGUGACACGUUGGAAACGCAGAGACAUUUCACUGUUGACACUUCCUCUCCUCAUCCUCACUCCACAGGACGCCUCAGGAAACAGGAAGUGCGUGCACCGACUAAUCAGAGAUUAAAGAAACUGUCGUGUGGUUUGUUCCUGUCUGCACUCGGCAAUGCCUCAUUUCUACCUCGCCGCUUCGCUCGCUCCAGGUACUGCUGACUUCCUGUUGUUCGUUUUCCACGGCAGACAGAACCGCGUCCUUGCUGUGGGUGUCGCUGUGACAUCAUCAGCAGGACAGCGUGUCGCACAUCACGUGUUAUGAAUGCGGCGCCUGCCCGAGCCUCAACAGGUGGUCAGCACGAGCCUCAGUUCCGUCAUCAGAGGGGGCGGAGUGGAAAUGAGGCCGUUUGGACCGUAAAGUGAACCGCCAUCAGUGAUGUUUUUCCACAAACAGGAAGUGGACCUUCACAUUAAACUGUGUCAGAGCACACCUGUGUGGGUUUGUGUGUUUGAUUCACAGGUGUGUUACAUACUGCACUAACCUCGCUGCGAGCACGGACAGAUUGUGUAACCUGAUGAUUGUAAAUGUCCUGUAAAAAUCCUGAUGAAUAAAUCCUCUGACACACGAGAGUUCUUCCACGCCGCUCGCUCUCUGAGCGCCUCAUAGCGGUGGCGAGCUGUUCUUGUUCUUGAGCCCAGGUCGUCUCGUUUUACGUCUCGAUGUUUCCUGUGUUCUUCACAUUAAGGAGCCAAACAUUCCUGCUGGAAGCAGGGCUCGCAAAAUUCCCUGGUUGCCCUUCGGGUGGGCAUGCUUCAGUUUUUGGUAGAGAUUAUUUUUAUUGUAUAAUAUUGUAAAGCAAACAAAACAUCAAUCAAAAAAUUGUUAAAACAGAAAUUACAACAUCCAUCCGUUUGCUUCCACUUGUCCUUUUCAGGGUCGCGGGGGGCGCUGGAGCCUAUCCAGCUGUUAUAGGGCGAGAGGCGGGGUCCACCCUGGUCAGGUCACCAGUCUGUCAGGGCUAACAUGUAGAGACAGACAACCAUUCUCACCUAUGGGCAAUUUACACUAAUCAAUUAACCCUGCAAUCUGCAUGAAAUGACAACAACUGUAUAAAAUUAUAAUCAUCAUCAACUCAAAUAUUUGGUUGUAAUUGAACAGAAAUUUCUAUGAACUGUGUAGAACAUGAGAAUCUGACAUUUCCGCUGACGUCACGGAGGAGAAAAUGCCACUCGACGUUGAGGCCGCAGCAUCUCCUUCAUCAGCGUUUUCGCGGCCUCCAUUUCACUGCUCUUUGUUCUUGUCGGGAUUUUAUGAUCCAGGUGUCUUGAACCUUUUCCAGAAAACAUCCAGAAAUGAAUCAUCGUGUCAGGGCAAAAAGAUUCGGCCAGCUCUAAUAUGUGUGCCACACAGUGGGUUGUUAUGAUGUGGGGUAUCCUGUUUCAGUCUCCCAGCUGUUCCUGUUUUCUCUCUUCUCUGAUACCCGUGGUGUUCGCUGCUUCAUCAAUAGCCUCUAAAAUAUCUGCAGCGUUUGCACUCCUGACUGGCUGACAUUUGAUCAUGUAUGUGGACGUUACAUUUGUGCAAACUGCAUGCUGUGAUGUCAGCAGCAUCCUAACAACAUAAUGCAGUACGUCAGGUUUAAUUUGAACCAUUACAAAGAAAGUGGCUGACCAGGAGGAAGUGUGAACAGGAAGUUGUUUAAAUGUUUAGCAGUCUAUAGGACUUGAUCCUCUGUGACACAUUCAUGUAUUAUCUGAGGCUGGAUUAAUUAAAAAUUAAGCACAUGCAGCCAUAUAUGACUGCGUCCAUGCAAUAAGCGAUCAGACAAACACGGCUGUGUGUGGGUCGAUGUCUUUUUUUUCUCUGCGGUCAGGGUUCGAGUCCAGCUGAGAAAGAGAAGAAAGGGCCAACACAGGAGGUGAGUUUUAUAAAGAUCGUAAGUUAUCAGAGGAUAAAGUGACAUUUUUCUGUCUCAUGUCUUUGUCUCACAUGGAAACAGUGAAGACAGGAAAUGUGUCUUCGGUGCUGUUACACCAUAUGAAACUAGUUUCAC